This 232-nucleotide ribosomal RNA is filed under the name uncultured bacterium. RNAcentral's name for it is "partial 16S ribosomal RNA". It matches the Rfam family "Bacterial small subunit ribosomal RNA", at positions 28 to 259 of the family's 1533-position model. The record is from RNAcentral.
GACGAACGCUGGCGGCGUGCUUAACACAUGCAAGUCGAGCGGUAAGGCCCUUUCGGGGGUACGACGAGCGGCGAACGGGUGAGUAACACGUGGGUGACCUGCCCUCAGCUCUGGGAUAAGCCUGGGAAACGUGGGUCUAAUACCGGAUAUGACUCCAUGACGCAUGUUGUGGGGUGGAAAGCCUUGUGCGGCUGAGGAUGGGCCCGCGGCCUAUCAGCUUGUUGGUGGGGGG